RNAcentral lists this transfer RNA (71 nucleotides) under Cephalcia yanqingensis. RNAcentral's name for it is "tRNA-Lys". The record is from RNAcentral. Lineage: Eukaryota; Metazoa; Arthropoda; Insecta; Hymenoptera; Pamphiliidae.
CAUUAGAUGACUGAAAGUAAAGUACUGGUCUCUUAAACCAUAAUAUAGUAAAUUAGCGAAUACUUCUAAUG